Long non-coding RNA from Ornithorhynchus anatinus (platypus), 371 nucleotides. RefSeq lists it as uncharacterized. Lineage: Eukaryota; Metazoa; Chordata; Mammalia; Monotremata; Ornithorhynchidae. The record is from RefSeq and is a predicted model, not a curated record. The transcript has 2 exons.
ACACAGCCCUGUUGUAAGCCGCAGCUGGCUCGCUGAAGAUCUGUGGUGACUCCCCAGAUGGAGAAAAAGACGUAUAUAAAUGAAAAGCGAUGCUGCCAUCUGUCCCGGCUUCAGACCCAGACUCUCCAACCAGCUGGAGGAAAAGAGGAAUGAACCUGAUUUCCCUGUUGGAUAAAGAAGAUAACUUAUGCAGAAGCACGAAUUUCAUCCUAAUAAACAAACUCGGUUCUCGCAAUAGUAUUUAUCGUUUCGGAGAAGAAAGUGGCUCGGAGAACGUGCAGCUUUUAUCAGAUAAAAGUGAACAGCUGGGGACGGGGUCUGUUUUCCUUUAAAAUGUAUUUUAUUAUAAUUAUAAAUAAUUAUAAUAAUAA